RNAcentral lists this ribosomal RNA (498 nucleotides) under uncultured Streptococcus sp. RNAcentral's name for it is "bacterial SSU rRNA". It matches the Rfam family "Bacterial small subunit ribosomal RNA", at positions 28 to 508 of the family's 1533-position model. The record is from RNAcentral. Lineage: Bacteria; Bacillati; Bacillota; Bacilli; Lactobacillales; Streptococcaceae.
GACGAACGCUGGCGGCGUGCCUAAUACAUGCAAGUAGAAUGCUGAAGAGAGGAGCUUGCUCUUCUUGGUUGAGUUGAGAACGGGUGAGUAACGCGUAGGUAACCUGCCUUGUAGCGGGGGAUAACUAUUGGAAACGAUAGCUAAUACCGCAUAACAAUGGAUGACUCAUGUCAUUUAUUUGAAAGGGGCAAAUGCUCCACUACAAGAUGGACCUGCGUUGUAUUAGCUAGUAGGUGAGGUAACGGCUCACCUAGGCGACGAUACAUAGCCGACCUGAGAGGGUGAUCGGCCACACUGGGACUGAGACACGGCCCAGACUCCUAUGGGAGGCAGCAGUAGGGAAUCUUCGGCAAUGGGGGCAACCCUGACCGAGCAACGUCGCGUGAGUGAAGAAGGUUUUCGGAUCGUAAAGCUCUGUUGUAGGUCAAGAACGAGUGUGAGAGUGGAAAGUUCACACUGUGACUGUAGCUUACCGGAAAGGGACGGCUAACUACGUGC